UAGCGGCGGACGGGUGAGUAACACGUGGGUAACCUGCCUUAUAGAGGGGGAUAGCCUUCCGAAAGGAAGAUUAAUACCGCAUGAAAUGUUUUUAUCGCAUGGUAGAAACAUCAAAGGAGUAAUCCGCUAUAAGAUGGACCCGCGGCGCAUUAGCUAGUUGGUGAGGUAACGGCCCACCAAGGCGACGAUGCGUAGCCGACCUGAGAGGGUGAUCGGCCACAUUGGAACUGAGACACGGUCCAGACUCCUACGGGAGGCAGCAGUGGGGAAUAUUGCGCAAUGGGGGAAACCCUGACGCAGCAACGCCGCGUGAAUGAAGAAGGCCUUAGGGUUGUAAAGUUCUGUUUUCUGGGACGAUAAUGACGGUACCAGAGGAGGAAGCCACGGCUAACUACGUGCCAGCAGCCGCGGUAAUACGUAGGUGGCAAGCGUUGUCCGGAUUUACUGGGCGUAAAGGAUGCGUAGGCGGAUGUUUAAGUGAGAUGUGAAAUACCCGAGCUCAACUUGGGUGCUGCAUUUCAAACUGGAUAUCUAGAGUGCAGGAGAGGAAAGCGGAAUUCCUAGUGUAGCGGUGAAAUGCGUAGAGAUUAGGAAGAACACCAGUGGCGAAGGCGGCUUUCUGGACUGUAACUGACGCUGAGGCAUGAAAGCGUGGGGAGCAAACAGGAUUAGAUACCCUGGUAGUCCAC
Molecule: ribosomal RNA, 689 nt
Filed under: Clostridium sp.
Lineage: Bacteria; Bacillati; Bacillota; Clostridia; Eubacteriales; Clostridiaceae
Description: bacterial SSU rRNA
Rfam family: Bacterial small subunit ribosomal RNA
Source: RNAcentral